This is a non-coding RNA of Lactobacillus gasseri, 81 nucleotides long. NCBI's taxonomy places the organism in Bacteria, Bacillati, Bacillota, Bacilli, Lactobacillales, Lactobacillaceae. The record is from Rfam.
UCACAUCUGCAACCGCACGUUUAUGGGGUAAGAAGAGAAUUAACGUUAAUUCCACCUCAUACGGCGAGUCUAAGUAUUUUU